UGGGGAAUUUUGGACAAUGGGCGAAAGCCUGAUCCAGCAAUGCCGCGUGUGUGAAGAAGGCCUUCGGGUUGUAAAGCACUUUUGUCCGGAAAGAAAUCCUUGGCUCUAAUACAGUCGGGGGAUGACGGUACCGGAAGAAUAAGCACCGGCUAACUACGUGCCAGCAGCCGCGGUAAUACGUAGGGUGCAAGCGUUAAUCGGAAUUACUGGGCGUAAAGCGUGCGCAGGCGGUUUGCUAAGACCGAUGUGAAAUCCCCGGGCUCAACCUGGGAACUGCAUUGGUGACUGGCAGGCUAGAGUAUGGCAGAGGGGGGUAGAAUUCCACGUGUAGCAGUGAAAUGCGUAGAGAUGUGGAGGAAUACCGAUGGCGAAGGCAGCCCCCUGGGCCAAUACUGACGCUCAUGCACGAAAGCGUGGGGAGCAAACAGGAUUAGAUACCCUGGUAGUCCACGCCCUAAACGAUGUCAACUAGUUGUUGGGGACUUCAUUUCCUUAGUAACGUAGCUAACGCGUGAAGUUGA
This 521-nucleotide ribosomal RNA is filed under the name uncultured bacterium. Its description in RNAcentral is "partial 16S ribosomal RNA". It matches the Rfam family "Bacterial small subunit ribosomal RNA", at positions 355 to 868 of the family's 1533-position model. The record is from RNAcentral.